AUCACGGGACGCUGGCCGUGGCGGGCUGCACGGGCUCCCGGGAGGGGCGGUGUGGAGAGUGACCUGUGCUCGCACACAGGCUUCUUGGUGGCGGCAGCAGCAGCCCCAGCGUCUCACGCCCGUCUCUGGGGUCCACGCUGACAGCCGCGGCUCGUGUCUGUCUCUGGAGUUCGUUUAGGCGGCGCUCUGAAUCCCCUCUCCUCGCGCACCAGGAAACAGGGAAGAAAAAGUCUCUUGCCUCUUCGGCAGCUGCAGACCUUUUCCCGGACUCCCUCCCGGCUAGCUGUGGUGCGCUAACCCCUUCAGGCUGUGUUCACGCCGCCAACCCCAGUCCUCUCCCUGCGAUCCGACCGAAGCCCGAGCCUCAGCUCCCAGCCCCGCCCGCCCCGGCGGCUGAGCAGACAAGCCUCUUGGGCUGAAGUGGAAAGGAUCACUACUAUCGAGAUAUAUUUGAAGAAGAAAAAAAUAGGAGAAUUAACUAGUUGAAAAACAUACUAAAACUGAAACAAUUAAGAUAAAAUGGAAUUAUGAAGAAAUAUAAAUUGAAAAAUGUAACUGAACUGGACCUAGAAGCUGACCGACACAAAAAUGGCACCUGAUGGAACCACAAAACCUGAAUGAGAACUCAUCUGUUUACAACAAGGUUGAAUAAAUAUUUUAAGCCCACUGUGGAGAUCUACU
Molecule: long non-coding RNA, 681 nt
Organism: Balaenoptera ricei (Rice's whale)
Lineage: Eukaryota; Metazoa; Chordata; Mammalia; Artiodactyla; Balaenopteridae
Exons: 3
Source: RefSeq, a predicted model, not a curated record